This 809-nucleotide ribosomal RNA is filed under the name uncultured fungus. RNAcentral's name for it is "SSU rRNA". It matches the Rfam family "Eukaryotic small subunit ribosomal RNA", at positions 564 to 1375 of the family's 1831-position model. Lineage: Eukaryota; Fungi. The record is from RNAcentral.
GUGCCAGCAGCCGCGGUAAUUCCAGCUCCAAUAGCGUAUAUUAAAGUUGUUGUGGUUAAAAAGCUCGUAGUUGAACCUUGGGCCUGGCUGGCCGGUCCGCCUCACCGCGUGCACUGGUCCGGCCGGGCCUUUCCCUCUGUGGAACCCCAUACCCUUCACUGGGCGUGGCGGGGAAACAGGACAUUUACUUUGAAAAAAUUAGAGUGCUCCAGGCAGGCCUAUGCUCGAAUACAUUAGCAUGGAAUAAUAAAAUAGGACGCGCGGUUCUAUUUUGUUGGUUUAUAGGACCGCCGUAAUGAUUAAUAGGGACAGUCGGGGGCAUCAGUAUUCAACUGUCAGAGGUGAAAUUCUUGGAUCAGUUGAAGACUAACUACUGCGAAAGCAUUUGCCAAGGAUGUUUUCAUUAAUCGGGAACGAAAGUUAGGGGAUCGAAGACGAUCAGAUACCGUCGUAGUCUUAACCAUAAACUAUGCCGACUAGGGAUCGGACGGUGUUAUUCAUGACCCGUUCGGCACCUUACGAGAAAUCAAAGUGCUUGGGCUCCAGGGGGAGUAUGGUCGCAAGGCUGAAACUUAAAGAAAUUGACGGAAGGGCACCACCAGGGGUGGAGCCUGCGGCUUAAUUUGACUCAACACGGGGAAACCCACCAGGUCCAGACACAAUAAGGAUUGACAGAUUGAGAGCUCUUUCUUGAUUUUGUGGGGUGGUGUGCAUGGCCGCUUCUUCAGUUGGUGGGGGUGACUUGUCUGCUUAAAUUGCGAUAACGAACGAGACCUUAACCCUGCUAAAUAGCCCGGCAUUUGCUCGCA